Molecule: ribosomal RNA, 457 nt
Filed under: Diphoropria sp. M229
Lineage: Eukaryota; Metazoa; Arthropoda; Insecta; Hymenoptera; Diapriidae
Description: eukaryotic LSU rRNA
Source: RNAcentral
AAACCGUUCAGGGGUAAACCUGAGAAACCCGAAAGAUCGAAUGGGGAGAUUCAGCGUCAGCGGCGUUGGCUUCCGUGUGGUGCGCGAUGCUGGAGAGUUUCGGCUCUUCGGCACUCCGCCACGUGGUAUGUCUGGCGUCGUCGGCGUGCACUUCUCCCCUAGUAGGACGUCGCGACCCGUUGGGUGUCGGCCUACGGCCCGGGGGGCAGUCUGUCUCGUCGCUUCGGCGUUCGCGGCAGACCCCCGGAGUCCCGGCCGGCUGCCCGGCGGUACUCGUACGGUAUCGAGCCGCUCGAACGGCGUCCGGCCCGUCGCAAGCGCGGCCAGUGAUCACUCGGAGUUACGGACCUAGCGCCGUACCCGAGCCUGGCCAGCUGUUGGUUGACGGUGUCCUCGGACUGGCUCUGUCGAAUCAUGAUACCGGUCGGCGACGCUACUGCUUUGGGUACUUUCAGGA